CUUGGUGAUUAUGGCGUAGGGGAACCACCCGAUUCCAUUCCGAACUCGGACGUGAAAACCUAUCGCGCCGAUGAUACUGCGUCUUAAGACGUGGGAAAGUAGGUCGUUGCCAAGC
This 115-nucleotide ribosomal RNA is filed under the name Sphingobacteriia bacterium. Lineage: Bacteria; Pseudomonadati; Bacteroidota; Sphingobacteriia. The record is from RNAcentral.